Molecule: ribosomal RNA, 253 nt
Filed under: uncultured bacterium
Lineage: Bacteria
Description: partial 16S ribosomal RNA
Rfam family: Bacterial small subunit ribosomal RNA
Source: RNAcentral
UACGGAGGGUGCAAGCGUUAUCCGGAUUCACUGGGUUUAAAGGGUGCGUAGGCGGGCAGGUAAGUCCGUGGUGAAAUCUCUGAGCUUAACUCAGAAACUGCCAUGGAUACUAUUUGUCUUGAAUGUUGUGGAGGUAAGCGGAAUAUGUCAUGUAGCGGUGAAAUGCUUAGAUAUGACAUAGAACACCCAUUACGAAGGCAGCUUACUACACAAAUAUUGACGCUGAGGCACGAAAGCGUGGGGAUCAAACAGG